UACGUAGGGUGCGAGCGUUGUCCGGAAUUACUGGGCGUAAAGAGCUCGUAGGUGGUUUGUCGCGUCGUCUGUGAAAUUCCGGGGCUUAACUUCGGGCGUGCAGGCGAUACGGGCAAUACUUGAGUGUUGUAGGGGAGACUGGAAUUCCUGGUGUAGCGGUGGAAUGCGCAGAUAUCAGGAGGAACACCGAUGGCGAAGGCAGGUCUCUGGGCAGUAACUGACGCUGAGGAGCGAAAGCAUGGGUAGCGAACAGGAUUAGAUA
This 262-nucleotide ribosomal RNA is filed under the name uncultured prokaryote. RNAcentral describes it as "partial 16S ribosomal RNA". It matches the Rfam family "Bacterial small subunit ribosomal RNA", at positions 524 to 784 of the family's 1533-position model. The record is from RNAcentral.